This 705-nucleotide ribosomal RNA is filed under the name Stenotrophomonas sp. Y4_622_1. RNAcentral's name for it is "bacterial SSU rRNA". It matches the Rfam family "Bacterial small subunit ribosomal RNA", at positions 57 to 750 of the family's 1533-position model. Lineage: Bacteria; Pseudomonadati; Pseudomonadota; Gammaproteobacteria; Lysobacterales; Lysobacteraceae. The record is from RNAcentral.
GCAGUCGAACGGCAGCACAGUAAGAGCUUGCUCUUAUGGGUGGCGAGUGGCGGACGGGUGAGGAAUACAUCGGAAUCUACCUUUUCGUGGGGGAUAACGUAGGGAAACUUACGCUAAUACCGCAUACGACCUUCGGGUGAAAGCAGGGGACCUUCGGGCCUUGCGCGGAUAGAUGAGCCGAUGUCGGAUUAGCUAGUUGGCGGGGUAAAGGCCCACCAAGGCGACGAUCCGUAGCUGGUCUGAGAGGAUGAUCAGCCACACUGGAACUGAGACACGGUCCAGACUCCUACGGGAGGCAGCAGUGGGGAAUAUUGGACAAUGGGCGCAAGCCUGAUCCAGCCAUACCGCGUGGGUGAAGAAGGCCUUCGGGUUGUAAAGCCCUUUUGUUGGGAAAGAAAAGCAGUCGAUUAAUACUCGGUUGUUCUGACGGUACCCAAAGAAUAAGCACCGGCUAACUUCGUGCCAGCAGCCGCGGUAAUACGAAGGGUGCAAGCGUUACUCGGAAUUACUGGGCGUAAAGCGUGCGUAGGUGGUUGUUUAAGUCUGUUGUGAAAGCCCUGGGCUCAACCUGGGAAUUGCAGUGGAUACUGGGCGACUAGAGUGUGGUAGAGGGUAGUGGAAUUCCCGGUGUAGCAGUGAAAUGCGUAGAGAUCGGGAGGAACAUCCAUGGCGAAGGCAGCUACCUGGACCAACACUGACACUGAG